GAAGCUUACAGGCUUUGCUCUGUGACACCCGGCUAGAGAAGCCCUUGGCCUCUGGGCCACCAUGUGGAUCCUAUUAGAGACUCAGGUUUGCUGAGGGAGGCACCUGUAGAUUAAACCUCUUCCUCCAACUCCCGGCUGUAAGCUUUGCCAAAUGGGUGGUGCCAGGCUGGCCUGCAGGCCCUGUCUUACCCUCCCUCUGUCCUGUGCCUUGGCCCUUUGUCUUCAACACAAGGAUUCCAUCCUGGUCCAAUCUGUUGUUAAUAAUAAGACUUGGCUAUUUUGUAUCCCCCCGCCCUCUUUUUUGGGAAGCAUUUUAUCUUCACAAACUCUUGAUAUCAGUCCCUAUUUUUCAGUGCAGAGAUAAAUGACUUGUCUAAGGUCACAAGAUGGAGGUGAUAAAACCAAUGGAGGUUUUCCAUUCUUCCAACACCCAGCCGAGUGCACCUCCUACUACACCAGUGAUGCUCAAAGGUGCUUCCCAGACAAGCAGCAUCAGCAUCACCUGGCAACCUGUUAGAAAUGCCUUGUCAACAGUUCAGGGUGGGGCCCAGCAAUCUGUGGUCUCACACGCCCUCCAGGUGAUUUUGAUUCACACUGAGCAACCACUGUACUUAGUGUUUCCUGAACCCCUGACAAUAGGAAUCGAGCUCCCCGGCAUCUGUUUCCCCCAACUGACCCAAUACGGAAUUCUUAGGUCCCACUCAUAUCUGUCACGGGCAUAGGAGUCUGUCUGGUUUUUUUUGUUUUUUUUUUAAUUGCCCCUGGUAAUUCUUAAGUUCAGGCAACUUUAGAAAACAGUGAAGGGAUCCUGCUGCCUAGGGGCUCAAUAUAGGGAAGCUUUAUAAAAAUCCUGGUGUGCUGAGAAAAAGCACUGUAAACCCAAACUACAGACUCUCCCACUGGAAUCAAAAUAAGGUGUUGUCUUUCCCUCCAAAUCACUAAAUGCACACCAGCAGGGAGACCUAAGUCUGCAUCCUCAUCCCCCUCCUGGAAAGAGUCUAGGGAGAGACUUUUAGAAGCCUGCUGCCCCUGGGCAGGCGCAAAGCUGACUCAAGCUCUUCAUGCCGCGUUCUGUGUAACAUGGAAAGACCCAGCAAACAGUGGCCACUGCCAGAGUACACCCCUUUGAAAGAAAGAGGCUGCCAUCACAUUCGCCUAAAUUCAGAGGGCCAGUGCUGACAGCCACGCUUCCCACCCUGCUCGGCAGCGCUGGCCCCUGAGAAGGGCCUGCACUUUCCCCAAAAGGAUGUGGGCUGGAGGGAAGGGAGGAGCAGGAGGAGCGUGGACUUCUGCCUCCCGUCUUGGCGCAGUAAAUCAGGUUGGUAACGUGCACACAGUGACAAAAGGUGGCAAGAGCCAAGGCUGGGUCUCCUACCUGAGAGUUUUCUCCUCCAUGCUACAGCCACACCAUGUCCAUUCAGUCAAUGUUCCAUGAUAGCAUGAAGCAUGUCACAUUUCGGCCUCAAGUCAACAAGUAUCCACUGGGUGCCGAGGGCAUGUGUUAUACACACUUACUUCAUCAGCGGUUUUAAGAAGACAGCCCGUGUCUCAAAAGCUCCCACUCUCCCCUGGAAGCAUUCUCACCACCCCCACAAGCCAGAGGCACUCUGAGACGGAAGGUGGGGCAGAAGACCUGCAGUCAACUAAGAGUGAGCCUGUGUGUGCCCUUACAUAUGCAUGGAAUGACCGAAUGACUCUGCACUUGCUGGCUAUUUAAUACUGGGCGAUUCCAUCAUUCUGAGGAGGCUUGGAAGGACUG
Equus caballus (horse) is the source of this 1759-nucleotide long non-coding RNA. The record is from Ensembl. NCBI's taxonomy places the organism in Eukaryota, Metazoa, Chordata, Mammalia, Perissodactyla, Equidae.